RNAcentral lists this ribosomal RNA (446 nucleotides) under uncultured bacterium. RNAcentral describes it as "partial 16S ribosomal RNA". It matches the Rfam family "Bacterial small subunit ribosomal RNA", at positions 338 to 795 of the family's 1533-position model. The record is from RNAcentral.
CCUACGGGGAGCAGCAGUCGAGAAUCAUUCACAAUGGGGGAAACCCUGAUGGUGCGACGCCGCGUGGGGGAAUGAAGGUCUUCGGAUUGUAAACCCCUGUCAUGUGGGAGCAAAUUAAAAAGAUAGUACCACAAGAGGAAGAGACGGCUAACUCUGUGCCAGCAGCCGCGGUAAUACAGAGGUCUCAAGCGUUGUUCGGAAUCACUGGGCGUAAAGCGUGCGUAGGCUGUUUCGUAAGUCGUGUGUGAAAGGCGCGGGCUCAACCCGCGGACGGCACAUGAUACUGCGAGACUAGAGUAAUGGAGGGGGAACCGGAAUUCUCGGUGUAGCAGUGAAAUGCGUAGAUAUCGAGAGGAACACUCGUGGCGAAGGCGGGUUCCUAGACAUUAACUGACGCUGAGGCACGAAGGCCAGGGGAGCGAAAGGGAUUAGAUACCCCUGUAGUC